UCAAGUGACUAAGUGCAUGUGGCGGAUGCCUUGGCGAUCACAGGCGAAGAAAGACGCGGCAGCCUGCGAAAAGCUGCGGGGAGCUGGCAAACGAGCUUUGAUCCGCAGAUAUCUGAAUGGGGGAACCCACACCGCAAGGUGUAUCCGUGACUGAAUACAUAGGUUACGGAGGCGAACGAGGAGAACUGAAACAUCUAAGUAUCCUCAGGAAAAGAAAUCAACCGAGAUUCCGGCAGUAGCGGCGAGCGAACCCGGAGGAGCCUAGCUUUUGAUAGUACGAACUUUAGCCGAAAGGUCCUGGAAAGGCCUGCUAUAGUGGGUGAUAGCCCCGUAGGCGAAAGAGUUCGUAUGGUACUAAGGAAGCGAGAAGUAGAGCGGGACACGUGGAAUCCUGUUCGAAGAUGGGGGGACCAUCCUCCAAGGCUAAAUACUCGUGAUCGACCGAUAGUGAACCAGUACCGUGAGGGAAAGGCGAAAAGAACCCCGGGAGGGGAGUGAAAUAGAACCUGAAACCGCAUGCAUACAAACAGUAGGAGCCUCGUCAGAGGUGACUGCGUACCUUUUGCAUAAUGGGUCAGCGACUUACAUUCUGUGGCGAGCUUAACCGAAUAGGGGAGGCGCAGCGAAAGCGAGUUCGAAAUGAGCGUCCAGUCGCAGGGUGUAGACCCGAAACCAGAUGAGCUAUCCAUGGCCAGGUUGAAGGUGUGGUAACACACACUGGAGGACCGAACCGACUAGUGUUGCAAAAUUAGCGGAUGAGCUGUGGAUAGGGGUGAAAGGCCAAACAAAUCUGGAGAUAGCUGGUUCUCCCCGAAAACUAUUGAGGUAGUGCCUCGUGUGUCGCUCCAGGGGGUAGAGCACUGUUUUGGCUAGGGGGACAUGGAGUCUUACCAAACCAAGGCAAACUCCGAAUACCUGGAAGCGUAAGCACGGGAGACAGAGCACCGGGUGCUAACGUCCGGACUCAAAAGGGAAACAACCCAGACCGCCGGCUAAGGUCCCCAAUAACAGCUAAGUGGAAAACGAAGUGGAAAGGCCGUGACAACCAGGAAGUUGGCUUAGAAGCAGCCAUCCUUCAAAGAAAGCGUAAUAGCUCACUGGUCGAGUCCUUCUGCGCGGAAGAUGUAACGGGGCUAAGCUGUUAACCGAAGCCGCGGAUGCACUGGUUAUCCAGUGCGUGGUAGGGGAGCGUUCUGUAAGUCUGCGAAGGCGGUUCGAGAGGACUGCUGGAGAUAUCAGAAGUGCGAAUGCUGACAUGAGUAACGUUAAAGCAGGUGAAAAGCCUGCUCGCCGUAAGCCCAAGGAUUCCUGCUCUACGUUCAUCGGAGCAGGGUGAGUCGGCUCCUAAGGUCAGGCCGAAAGGCGUAGCCGAUGGGAAUCAGGUUAAUAUUCCUGAACCUGCGUCAGAUGCGAUGGGGGGACGGAGCAUGAAAGAUCAUCCGGGUGUUGGAUGUCCCGGUUGACGAGCGUAGGAGGUCUGCAGGCAAAUCCGCAGACGCAUCUCCAAGGCGAAGUCACGUGCCGCCACGGCGGCGAAGUGAUCGGAAGUGCUUCCAAGAAAAGCCUCUAAGCACCAGUCUGACGCGGACCGUACCGCAAACCGACACUGGUGGGCGAGCUGAAUAUGCUCAGGCGCUUGAGAGAACUCGGGAGAAGGAACUCGGCAAAUUGACACCGUAACUUCGGAAGAAGGUGUGCCGUAGUAGCGUGAGAGGAGAGACACCUUGAGCGUGAAUCGGUCUCAGAGAAUAGGUGGCUGCGACUGUUUAUUAAAAACACAGCACUCUGCAAAGUCGAAAGACGACGUAUAGGGUGUGAUGCCUGCCCGGUGCUGGAAGAUUAAUUGAUGGGGUGAGAGCCCUUGAUCGAAGUCCCAGUAAACGGCGGCCGUAACUAUAACGGUCCUAAGGUAGCGAAAUUCCUUGUC
RNAcentral lists this ribosomal RNA (1927 nucleotides) under human gut metagenome. Its description in RNAcentral is "bacterial LSU rRNA". It matches the Rfam family "Bacterial large subunit ribosomal RNA", at positions 3 to 1973 of the family's 2925-position model. The record is from RNAcentral.